Molecule: long non-coding RNA, 1373 nt
Filed under: Felis catus (domestic cat)
Lineage: Eukaryota; Metazoa; Chordata; Mammalia; Carnivora; Felidae
Description: lncRNA (ENSFCAG00000052155.1)
Source: RNAcentral
GCAGGAGUGAAUUAAUAUAAGGAAGUGAACCCCGCUGACCCAGCCUCAAUUUUGGUAAAUCUUGGGUUCAGGAACUUUCUCCGUGGCCUCGAGUUCUCAAAGGAGCAGCUGGAGGCCAGGUGUGGAGAAGCAGAUGUACGUAUACAAGGUGAGUGUGUGUAUGGAGGGGGUUAACUACCUGGUUCCCAGUCCUUCUGAAUAAUACUUGCUUAUAAAGGGGAAAUACUGGCUGUUUCCUGGACAAGUAUUCCCAGAGAGGACCAGAGGCAAGUUGGGGAGAAUCUAGGCCUUCCAGAACCUUGGGCAGUAGGAGCCAGAAGUGCCCUUGGUGAUUGCAAGGCUUCCCAACCCUUUCCAAUGCUAAGAAUGACCUGCCAUAAUUGUUCAGUAUUACAAGCUCUAGGCCAGUGGAUGUCUUACUUUAGCAGGCACCAGACUCACCCAGAGAGCUUGUUCAAACAACUGGGGGUCCUGCCCCCAGACUUCGAUUCAGUAUCUCUCCUGUUGGACCUGACAAUUUACUUGGGCUGCAUAAGGAAUCCCAAGAGGUGCCUGUCGCUGAUGCUCCUGGGACCACACUUUGAGAAUCACUGCCUAGUUGGCUCCCUGGACCAGAAUCUCCAGGAGAAAGAUCUGGAAGCCAUUUUCACAACUUCCCAGGUGCAGGAGCCACAGGGCACCAUUCCCCAAACAUGCCACCCUCCUUUCCAUCGUGGUGCCUUGGUGCCUUUACUCCACCUGAGGACUCAGCCAGGCACACCCUCUCUACCUGCCAGCAUCUUUCUCGUCUCAGCUCGUCUCUCUAUGAAGCUCUGGUGACCCCCAGCAGGUGCAUGGUCUCCUCUGGACUUGCACUGAUCUUGAACACUUGUCCACAGCUGCUCUCACUGCGGUGACAAGGACCAACUUGUUUAGCUUUCCAAGCAGGCUCGUCCUACUUGGUGACCCUCUGCUGUAUUGGCUGCGGGUAACAGGUGGGAGAACACUGGAAUGAUGCUACCCAUGGAUGCACUGUGGAGCCACGAUGCGGGCGGGCUGGAGUUCUGGCAAAAGCAGAUCCAUCCAGAGAGCAUUUUCCAGAAAGAAGAGGAGGGUAAGGAAGAUUCUAAGGGGCUUGGAUCUCUGCUGUGAGAUGUAAUUCCUGCCUCAUUCCUCCUCUUUCUGAAGAAUCUUCAGCAAAACCACCCAACAUUUUCAAAGGCUUUUGGAUUCAGGUUUUUCUGUAUUUUUACUGUAAUAAUUCCUAAAUGGAAUCAAGAAGGCCUAUUUUCAAUGGGGUCUGGACACUCUGUUUUGUCGUUCUUCUGGCCAUUGCUGCUUAUCCAAUUACCUUAGCAAAUAAAAAAAAAACCAGUAUUCUUUCUCUCUUAUGG